GUCUGAAUAGCUCAGUGGUAAGAGCAGUCGCCCGCAAGCGAAAGACUCGGAUUCGAUUCUCGAUUCAGCG
Molecule: transfer RNA, 70 nt
Filed under: Lasius niger
Lineage: Eukaryota; Metazoa; Arthropoda; Insecta; Hymenoptera; Formicidae
Rfam family: tRNA
About the family: Transfer RNA (tRNA) molecules are approximately 80 nucleotides in length. Their secondary structure includes four short double-helical elements and three loops (D, anti-codon, and T loops). Further hydrogen bonds mediate the characteristic L-shaped molecular structure. tRNAs have two regions of fundamental functional importance: the anti-codon, which is responsible for specific mRNA codon recognition, and the 3' end, to which the tRNAs corresponding amino acid is attached (by aminoacyl-tRNA synthetases). tRNAs cope with the degeneracy of the genetic code in two manners: having more than one tRNA (with a specific anti-codon) for a particular amino acid; and 'wobble' base-pairing, i.e. permitting non-standard base-pairing at the 3rd anti-codon position.
Source: Rfam by way of RNAcentral